ACGCUCGACACCUACGGGAGGCAGCAGUGGGGAAUAUUGCACAAUGGGGGAAACCCUGAUGCAGCAACGCCGCGUGAAGGAAGACGGUUUUCGGAUUGUAAACUUCUGUUCUUAGUGAAGAUAGUGACGGUAGCUAAGGAGCAAGCCACGGCUAACUACGCGCCAGCAGCCGCGGUAAUCUGAGCGGGCUGGCAAGGC
This 198-nucleotide ribosomal RNA is filed under the name uncultured bacterium. Its description in RNAcentral is "partial 16S ribosomal RNA". It matches the Rfam family "Bacterial small subunit ribosomal RNA", at positions 328 to 539 of the family's 1533-position model. The record is from RNAcentral.